RNAcentral lists this long non-coding RNA (368 nucleotides) under Homo sapiens (human). RNAcentral describes it as "HSALNT0060794". Lineage: Eukaryota; Metazoa; Chordata; Mammalia; Primates; Hominidae. The record is from RNAcentral.
GCGCCUUGUAGCCCAUCUGCAGGCCCAGGUACCUGUGGGCAGGAGGAGGCAGGACUGGUGAGGGAGGGGGCUCUGCAGCCCACAUCCCAGGGCCAGGACCACUGGGAAGAACCACAUCAUUCCCACGCUGGCCCGCGGAAGGUGUGGGCACCAUCCAGGCCGGGUGGAAGAUAGAAUCUGGGCACGAGCAGUCCCUGCGGCAGGCAGGAGACUGCGGAUGUAUAGAACUUGAUGUGCUGCCAGCAAAAGAGGAAACGGGGAAUCAAACAAAGCAAGACCAAAGAAAAACCCUACACUCCAGCCCAGUGUGAGUUCCUGGCCUGGUGAGUGUGUCUGUGCAUCUUUAUUUCUUUUGGGCCAGUGCCACC